This 2192-nucleotide long non-coding RNA is filed under the name Gallus gallus (chicken). Its description in RNAcentral is "lncRNA (ENSGALG00010026610.1)". The record is from RNAcentral. Lineage: Eukaryota; Metazoa; Chordata; Aves; Galliformes; Phasianidae.
GGGAGGUGGCGCUGCUGUGGGCCGCGCUGAGGCUUCGCGUCGCGGGUUCGGGGCUCCCGGGGGUCCCUGGAGGCUCGAGAUGACUUCGUUCAGCGGUUCCUCCACGCCUUCUGACAGAUAAGGAGGUGCUGUCCUUGUCCAAAGAACUUACAACACCUGCCGUGAUAAAAGGAUGGGUUUAAGGCUCUGGCUUCAAGUUUCUUCUACCAGCAAAUGAACAAAUACAACCUCGUUCAGCAUCUCACUCAGUGUCCCAUUCAGCUUGAUCUUCAUCCAUUGUCCAGAGCUUACUGCUUUGUAUUAGCUCUGCAGAACAGUAGCACGAAGCAAUAAUCAGUGCUUCAUCCUCACUUUUUUUACUUAAUUUUUAACACUGGUUAACUCUGUAACAUAGACUGAGUGGAUGAUCUCCAUUUCAUCAGGAACGAAUUUAGUCUACACCAUCAAUCCCAUUUUGAAGCAGCCACUGAUAUGAGCUGUUUCUCCUUGGGAGACAGAUGAGUCUGUGUUUCAAGGAAGGCCAUUCCAAUGCAAGGUAUCCGUAAAAUAUUAAUCUUUUAAUAUAUUUUAAUAGAAGCUUGGUUACGAACGAGGCUACUCACAUCAGUGAUGUUCUGUUUCCUAUAUGGAAAUACGGUACAAAUGACUGGAAAAACAUUUGGGUGUAAAGGAAAACGGAGAAGGAUCAGUUCAGUAUUAUAACUAAAUGCAUGCUGAAUAACGGCCAUGUAGAGCAAGCUUGAGGGACAGUUAUCAAGGUAAUUAGUAUCUCUUCCUUUUGUCCUUUAGUUCUGGAACUGAAUGUCCAGGCAGAACUAAAGCAAGGCAUGUUAGAAACACCAUAUGUACAAAGCACCACUGAUGGAUUGGGAAAAGAUUGUUAUGUCAGUAUGGUGGGUAGGGAAACUGAGGCAUGGAACGUGGUGUUAAUUGGCAGAAGACCACCUCUGUGUCUGGAUUUCUCACUAACAUCCUCUGUGACCCACAGAGUGAGGAACAGAACCAAAUUGUUUGUUCUCUCCACUGUGGUGUAGACAAUUUUGAUAGCUUCAACCUGGUCUUGGUUCCUGCUCUGACAAUCAAUGGCACAGGGCCGGAUCAGACAGCAAAGAUGCCCCUCAGUAGUGUCAGCCCUUACUGACUCUUAGGCAGUGGGAGAUCCCAUAACAUUCAUCUCUACAGCCUUGUUCUGACCAAUUAGAGUAUCGGUGUAGGGAUUAAAAUGGCCAGCAUUGUAAUCAUAGUCAGGAAACAGCAAAUCAAAGCAGGAGAACUGGAAUUUCGAGGGUCCAUCAGGGUGCUGACCAGUGAGUUUGACCAGGAUAGCGGAUCCUUGAGAUCUGAGAACUGCACCUCUUUAUUUAAGAGGAGGAAAACCAGCCGAGGUCGUACUACAAAAAAAAAAAAAAUAAGCCACUGUCCACUUGCUCUGGCUGCAAAGCACAUUUUCAAUAAGUUUCUGCUCUAACAAGCUGCAUCAGUUUCAUCUCAGUAGAUCUGAUGGUUACUGAGCAGUGCUCAAUGUUCUGGAGGGUGCCAGGCACAUAAUUGUUUUUACAACAUUGUAAAAUGAAUCAGACUGAAAUUAGUGUCACUCAGCAGAACCACUUUCCUUCCUUUUAAAUUACUUAAUCCGAGGGUUAAUCAAAAAGAAAAUGAAGUUUCGACACUGCCCUUCAGCUAAGGGCAAGCACAGGUUCAGCUGCCUGCACUGCAUCUGCCUGUGAAGUGCUUUGCAUAUCAGCUCCUGCACUGAUACGCGUGCUGCUUCCCCACUGCUAUUUGAAGGGGGGAGGAUAGGGCUGUCUUGGGAGUGCUUCCCACACGGAAGUCAAAUGGGGAGAGGAAGGAAGCAAAAGCCAUUUUGUCAUCUAAUUCCUGAGAAAUGAGAGCUAGAGAAAUUAUAGGGAAAGGGGUUUUUCUGCAGGAAGGUCCUUCCGUGAGCACACAGCCUGUUCCAGCCAUUAGCUAUAAAGUACACAGGGGUUCUCAGCCCUCUUUGGUGCCUCUUGUCCUCAGGAGCUGAGAUGUGAGUGGUUAAUAUGGUCGGGAUAUGCCAUCAUGUAAGAACCUCAAAUAGCAUCUCCUCCAUUCCUCCGGUCUUUAUUGGCUCCUUGCUGAGACAAUCCCAGCUUCUGUUGUUCUGCCCACUUUGAACUGUGUAUUUUGGAAACAAUUCUAAUAAAUUUCCC